This 493-nucleotide ribosomal RNA is filed under the name uncultured bacterium. RNAcentral's name for it is "bacterial SSU rRNA". It matches the Rfam family "Bacterial small subunit ribosomal RNA", at positions 28 to 517 of the family's 1533-position model. The record is from RNAcentral.
GAUGAACGCUGGCGGCGUGCUUAACACAUGCAAGUCGAACGGAGUACCCGAGAAUGAAGCUUCGGCAGAUUUCUUGGACUACUUAGUGGCGGACGGGUGAGUAACGCGUGAGCAAUCUGCCCUUAAGAGGGGGACAACAGUUGGAAACGACUGCUAAUACCGCAUGAUGUACCGAGGAGGCAUCUCUUUGGUACCAAAGGAGCAAUCCGCUGUAAGAUGGACUCGCGUCCAAUUAGAUAGUUGGUGAGGUAAUGGCUCACCAAGUCGACGAUUGGUAGCCGGACUGAGAGGUUGAACGGCCACAUUGGGACUGAGACACGGCCCAGACUCCUACGGGAGGCAGCAGUGGGGGAUAUUGCACAAUGGAGGAAACUCUGAUGCAGCAACGCCGCGUGAGGGAAGAAGGUUUUCGGAUUGUAAACCUCUGUUUUUAGUGAAGAACAAAUGACGGUAGCUAAAGAGGAAGCCACGGCUAACUACGUGCCAGCAGCCG